Molecule: small RNA, 242 nt
Filed under: Vigna angularis var. angularis
Lineage: Eukaryota; Viridiplantae; Streptophyta; Magnoliopsida; Fabales; Fabaceae
Description: Non-protein coding transcript
Source: RNAcentral
CUGGGACUCUGCUGUGUGUUUGUUUGCAUGGUAUUUGAUUGUUGAGUGUCUCAGCGUUCUAGCUGGUGCGGGCUGUGUUGAGCCCACAUGAAAGCAAGAGCUACUAUAAUACCAGUGGUCCUCUCACACACUCCAAAGGGUAAAAGAAUUGAAUACAGAAUAACACAUAGUAAUUGACACGAAGCAAAAGGCAUAUGAAUUUUCCUGCUAUUACAAUUACGUGUUAGACAUGUACACACGGA